Long non-coding RNA from Helianthus annuus (common sunflower), 507 nucleotides. RefSeq lists it as uncharacterized. The record is from RefSeq and is a predicted model, not a curated record. The transcript is spliced from 4 exons. NCBI's taxonomy places the organism in Eukaryota, Viridiplantae, Streptophyta, Magnoliopsida, Asterales, Asteraceae.
GGUUCUGGGAUCGACAUCAGGAAGCUCCUAGGAGCUUCAAAACCCUAGUUCAACAUAAUCAUCAAAUUGAAGGCUCAAUCAAAGCUCAAAUUCACAAUUGAACAUGAAUUAAUGAUCACAUAAGCUAGGGGAUCAUAAGUUUGACGCUUGGCAAGCUAGGUGAAAGCUUGGAAACGAAGCGGGUCAAACGAAUCAAGAGAGAAGGAAAGGCAUAAUCGGGAUGCAAGGUGCGGAUCAAACCAUUCUGUCGAAAUGGAGGUGUGGCGUCGCGCGACGCCCAAAGGGGUUUACCGUGGUGCGCGACGACGGCGUGAAAGUCGAGAGUCCCGGAUGAAAAUCAAGCGACGAACAAGAACCGAACACACGUUAAAUGAAGCUUCCGCGUUAAACCUUGUUUUGUUUUGUUAUAAGUGAAUUAUGUAAACACUUACAACUAUGUCUUGAAAUGUUUUUAAAACAUAUGGGAAUGUUGGCACGACAAGUUUUUGUAAAGUCGCAUUUUUAGUA